GCUGUCUCUCUCUCUCUCUCUCUCUAUAUAGGCAGCUACCCACGCCCUUGUUUCUAUUUUGCUCUGUCUCAAAGUUGCCCGAGUCCUCCCCAGAACAACAACAGAAGACCUCUCCUCCGGUGUUGAAAAAGGUAGUUUUAGUAUUCUCUGGUGGUAUCUUAACUUCAAAAUGCCCAAAGUCAGACGAUCAUCUUCCUUGUCUCUUGAUCGAUCUAGGGCAUCACCUUAUCCUUGCACCUCUGAGGAUGCUGAGCAAUACAAGUUGAAUAGUCCGUUAGAAAGCACAGAGAACGCAAAAGAAUGGGAAGAUACUAGAUGCCCCAUCUGCAUGGAACACCCACAUAAUGCUGUUCUUAUAAAAUGUUCCUCUCAUGAGAUGGGCUGCAGGCCGUACAUGUGCAAUACAAGCUACCGGCACUCAAAUUGUCUUGACCAGUUUUGUAAGUCUUCUGUACCUGAGUCCACAACAAUGAUGUUGCAAGAACUUCCUCUGACACACACAGCCUCUCACGGUUCUAGGGAAGAAGAAUCGCUGCCUGGGCAAACCAGCCCUUGUGGAAGUCAGUUGCAACCACAUCCAGCUUGCCCUCUUUGUCGGGGAAAGAUCUAUGGGUAUAUUGUUGUAGAGGCUGCUCGUCACUUCAUGAAUUGCAAAGUGAGGAGCUGCUCUUCUGAGACAUGCGACUUUAAUGGAACUUAUUCAGAACUGAGGAAGCAUGCGAGGUCUGAACACCCUUAUGUCCGGCCAUCAGAGGUGGAUCCAAAUCGUCAUCGUGAUUGGAUGAGAUUGGAACGUCAAAGGGACUUGCAAGAUGUACUUAGCAUAGUCCAAGUAGGGUCUGGAGAUGAUAUUAUUCCGGAUCCAUCAACAGAUGGUGGCUGGAUGACUUCCCUUUUAAGUGCUAUGUUUCGCUCGUUUGAGAUUAUGAUUUUUUCUCAAUUGAUGGAGAGUUCAAGUGACAUGGAACAAACUCAUAGUAGAAGAUCAGGGAGAAUGACUAGGGUCCAGCAAGACAAUGACACAAUCCCUGCUGCUAGAAGGAACAACACUGUAUCAGAUAGCACAUCCCGUCCCAGAGGUCUACGUUGGCGAGCACCAAAUAAUAAUGGCGAGACAGCUCGUACCUCCAGAUUGAGCCACAAUUCUUUGUCAGGGGAGACUAGCCAUACCUCUAGAUGGAGCAACAACUCAUUGGAGGAGGCUAGCCGUGCCCCUAGAUGGGGUAACUCCUUAUCUGAGGAGGGUACUAACCGUGUCCUUAGAAGGGGUAACAACAGCGUAUCGGAGACUACCCGUCCCUCCAGAUGGGGCAACAACUCUGUGCCGGAGGAGAGUAAUCGUGUCCACAGAUGGGGUAACAACUCCGUGCCAGAGAGUAAUCGUGUCCACAGAUGGGGCAACAACUCCUUAUCAGAGGAGAGUAGAUGGGGCAACAACUCCUUAUCGGAAGAGGCUGGGCAUGCCUCUAGAUGGGGCAAUACUUCUGUACCAGAAAGCACACCCCGUCCUCGAAGACUGAGAUGGAGAAAUCAAUGGCCAACGUACAAUAACAGAAGGUGACUGCAGCUCAUUGUUUCUGAGAUCAAUUUGCUCUCACAAAAGACAUGUCAUGUUUCAAUUUUCAAACAUUUGAGUCUGCACUUUUCAAAUAAUGUCUGCUCAGGAACGAUCAUGCCAUCGACCAAGAAGUGUUGAAUGACAAAACAAAAGCAUGGAGUUUUAUUUGUUGGAACAAUAUUUAACGGCUUUAGGCUCUUGGGACACUCCUGUCUUGGUGAAUAAUAGAAUGUUAAGCAUAGAUUUUAUCUCCAUUUUUUUUUUGCUAGUGAUUGUUAAUAUCUAGUUCAGUACUAAAUGAACUCAGAAGCUUUUGAUUUUUUUUUUUAAGGUAAACUGUGCUUUACAGAAUCGUUUCAUCCCAUAAUGCCAAAUGUGUUUGCUAGGGCACACAUAAUU
RNA transcript from Rosa chinensis, 1957 nucleotides. RefSeq lists it as uncharacterized. The record is from RefSeq and is a predicted model, not a curated record. Lineage: Eukaryota; Viridiplantae; Streptophyta; Magnoliopsida; Rosales; Rosaceae. The transcript has 3 exons.